Molecule: long non-coding RNA, 103 nt
Organism: Ipomoea nil (Japanese morning glory)
Lineage: Eukaryota; Viridiplantae; Streptophyta; Magnoliopsida; Solanales; Convolvulaceae
Exons: 3
Source: RefSeq, a predicted model, not a curated record
GAACUUCUUGUUCAAUUAUCUUCUGAACUUUUAGUUCAGUAUAACUAGUAUGUGGAUUUCUUAACUAAUGAAGAUCUUUCCAUUCCAUGUAACUUCUCGGCAU